CCCUUAGAUGUUCUGGGCCGCACGCGCGCCACACUGAUGCAUUCAACGAGUUCCUACCUUGGCCGAGAGGCCUGGGCAAUCUUUUGAACUUGCAUCGUGAUAGGGAUAGAUUAUUGCAAUUAUUAAUCUUGAACGAGGAAUUCCUAGUAAACGCAGAUCAUCAAUCUGCAUUGAUUACGUCCCUGCCCUUUGUACACACCGCCCGUCGCACCUACCGAUUGAAUGGUCCGGUGAAGCCUCGGGAUUGUGGUUAGUUUCCUUCAUUGGAAGUUAGCCGCGAGAACUUGUCUAAACCUUAUCAUUUAGAGGAAGGUGAAGUCGUAACA
Molecule: ribosomal RNA, 326 nt
Filed under: uncultured eukaryote
Lineage: Eukaryota
Description: partial 18S ribosomal RNA
Rfam family: Eukaryotic small subunit ribosomal RNA
Source: RNAcentral